RNAcentral lists this ribosomal RNA (468 nucleotides) under uncultured bacterium. RNAcentral describes it as "partial 16S ribosomal RNA". It matches the Rfam family "Bacterial small subunit ribosomal RNA", at positions 28 to 507 of the family's 1533-position model. The record is from RNAcentral.
GACGAACGCUGGCGGCGUGCUUAACACAUGCAAGUCGAACGGAAAGGCCCUGCUUUUGUGGGGUGCUCGGGUGGCGAACGGGUGAGUAACACGUGAGUAACCUGCCCUUGACUUUGGGAUAACUUCUGUAAACUGGGGCUACUACCGGAUAUGACCUCCUGCUGCAUGGUGGGGGUUGGAAAGUUUCGGCGGUUGGGGAUGGACUCGCGGCUUAUCAGCUUGUUGGUGGGGUAGUGGCUUACCAAGGCUUUGACGGGUAGCCGGCCUGAGAGGGUGACCGGCCACAUGGCGACUGAGAUACGGCCCAGACGCCUACGGGAGGCAGCAGUGGGGAAUAUUGCACAAUGGGCGGAAGCCUGAUGCAGCAACGACGCGUGCGGGAUGACGGCCUUCGGGUUGUAAACCGCUUUCGCCUGUGACGAAGCGUGAGUGACGGUAAUGGGUAAAGAAGCACCGGCUAACUACGUG